CUUCUCAGCCAGAAGCAUUCUCUUCUCCCCUUGUCACGUUCGCUGUUUCUUCUGUUUCUUCACUAAGACCCAGUUUCGUAUGAUCCCAAAGGGCUAGUGACACGGGGCUUCCUGCCAUUCCGAAAGGAAGGUUUGCUGAUGCCGGACUUGCUGACGUUACUUGGGCUAUUUGCUUUUCCUUCUAAGGUCCUGGCCUCGACUUUUAUCUGAAUCUUUCACCCAGAAAAGACACGCGUGGGGCGUGGGGUGACGCGGCCCUGCUGUCCCGCAGCUGUGAGGAAGUGGUUUCUUCGUCAGGUCUCUCCUGUGUGCUAGGAAUGUGGCUGAGAGGAGGAAAAAGUGUUCGUGCCGCUGAAUUUUCAGAGAGCACCAUUUUGGUUCUAAACAGAGCUUUUCCCGCAGGGGGAUGCGCUGGGGGUCUCGUUGGUUUUGAAUCGCAUUCGCCUUGCUGUGUGGGAAGGGGCACCCGCCUGCCCUCAUCUCUCCGGACUGAGUUUGCUGUCUUGGGCACCUCGGUCAGCAUGUAGCACUGUGGUGGUGUGCGGUCCCUCAUCCCGAGGCCUCUGAGAGGACAAAGACAGCCUUGUGUGGCAAAGCUCUAUGUCAGAAUCAAGGUGGCCGAACUCCCUGGCUUCCUCUCCUGUCCAGUGCUCUGCUGUCACUAAGCUGUUAGGCCGACUUCAUUGGCUCCAAAACGCACUGGCAUAUGUAAAUCUCCUUUGAUUGGAGACCUAUUGAUUAUAGGUAACAUAAGCCUCUGGAAGGGGCACAGAGCUCAAGUGAAGCGAAAAGUUUCCUCCCGACACAUACAGCAUUCCUGAUUUCAUUUUUCUGGCCGUGUUCCUCAUCAAAACCACUGCACUCAGACUUUCUCAAAAAAUUGUUUCUGCCUGGUCCUGUUUUCAUAUCAAAAAAGCCCCUGUGGUUUCAGCCAAGGGUAAGGAAAGCAUUUGGACAAAACUUGUGUUUUCUUUAAAAUGACGAGAAACAAAAAAUUAUAAAAUCAUGUGAAAAUUAUUUGCUUUAGAGGCUGCAAAUACGUGCUUUUGUGUUCUUAUAGACUGCUAAACAGCAGGCUGUGACCCUGCCCUCCAGUGACCACUCACCAGACACUUCGGUGGGGCAGACGACCCGGCAGGGAACGUUUCCUGGCCUUCAGGUUGUGUCUCCCAGCUGCGGAGCCAGGGCUCGGCCUGGGCUUGGCAGGUGGCGCAGGCGUGGCUGGGGGUGGGAUCCCGGCUCCUGGCUUGGAUCAUUGUGGUAGAGCACUUUGGAGCAGCCAGACCGGGGCUUUGUGUCUUCCCAUGUGUCUUGCAGUCAGUCCAUCGAAUCCUCCAGUUUUUGUAUGCUUUCAGAAUAAGAAACAAACAUGAGACACGUUGGACUCUAAAUUAGUGCUAACAAAAAGUUAAAACCAAGGAGCCCGGGUGGAGCCGGGUCCCCGAAGAGGCCUGUGCGGAUUUCAUGGGUCUGCUGGUGACAGAAACCUGCGUCGCUGUGCCCGCGGGGGUCCCUGGCUUGCCUGGGAACAGCGCGGAGACAGACGGUGCCCACUUGGCGCAGGGAAGUCGUCAGGGGAGAGGA
Non-coding RNA from Heterocephalus glaber (naked mole-rat), 1584 nucleotides. NCBI's taxonomy places the organism in Eukaryota, Metazoa, Chordata, Mammalia, Rodentia, Bathyergidae. The record is from RefSeq and is a predicted model, not a curated record.